GGAUGAAGAACGCAGCGAAAUGCGAUAAGUAAUGUGAAUUGCAGAAUUCAGUGAAUCAUCGAAUCUUUGAACGCAUCUUGCGCUCCUUGGUAUUCCUUGGAGCAUGCCUGUUUGAGUAUCAUGAGCAAAUCUCAAAGUCAAUUCCUUUUGUUAAUUCAAUUUGGUUUUGCUUUGGACUUGGAGGUCUUGCAGAUUUCACAGUCUGCUCCUCUUAAAUGCAUUAGCUGGAUCUCAGUAAUUACGCUUGGUUCCACUCGGCGUGAUAAGUAUCACUCGCUGAGGACACUGUCAAAAAGGUGGCCAGGAAAAUACUGAUUGAACCGCUUCUAACGGUCUAUUAAGUUAGACAAUUACCCUUAAGUUUGAUCUCAAAUCAGGUAGGACUACCCGCUGAACUUAAGCAUAUCAAUAAGCGGAGGA
Molecule: unclassified non-coding RNA, 420 nt
Filed under: soil metagenome
Description: partial contains 5.8S ribosomal RNA, internal transcribed spacer 2, and large subunit ribosomal RNA
Rfam family: 5.8S ribosomal RNA (bases 2-121)
Source: RNAcentral